Molecule: long non-coding RNA, 4905 nt
Filed under: Mytilus galloprovincialis (Mediterranean mussel)
Lineage: Eukaryota; Metazoa; Mollusca; Bivalvia; Mytilida; Mytilidae
Source: RNAcentral
AAUGUAUAUAAGUAUGUUGUAUUCUAUUUAUACUUCUCUCAUCAAUAUAUUGACAAAUAUGAAUGCCAAAGUUGUAAGUACCUUUCUUGCUUGUCUUAUUGGUAAGUGAAAUUUUAAUACUCAGAAUAUUUAUAUAAUUGUAUAUAUUAUGUAGAAGACAUUAUGCUAAAUCUCUUUUCAAAUAUUUACGGCAUUCUAUUCUAUAAACAUUCAUAAACACAUCAUUUUGUUUUCUUUUAAGGUCAUAUUUGAAAUUAGUGAGCCUGCUUGUCGUAUGUUAAGUUAUGUAAGCAGUGUGUCUAGUGAUUUUUAGUUAUCUUCGUCUCAACAUACGUCAAAUAGGAAUAUAUGAUCUGUUAAGAAGAAGUGACGAGCUUCAAUUUUAAAAUGAUAAACGCAUUUUUAGCACUAUUUGGUAUUUCAUGGCAGACAGUUUUUAAUUGAUUGGGGUUACUGCAGUGCAAGGAAGGAGAAAAAGAUCGUUUGCAAGAUAACCAGCAAUCCUCGUCAAUUAAGUAGUUAUCAAAGGUACCAGGAUUAUAAUUUAGUACGCUAGACGCACGUUUCGUCUACAUAAGACUCAUCAGUGACGCUCAUAUCAAAAUAUUUAUAAAGCCAAACAAGUAUAAAGUUAAAAGGCAUUGAGGAUCCGAAAUUCCAAAAAAAUGUAAUGCCAAAUACGGCUAAGGUAAUCUAUGCCUCGGGAUAAGAAAAUCCUCAGUUUUUCGAAAAGUUUUGUAAACAGGAAAUUUAUAAAAAUGACCACAUUAUUGAUAUACAUGUCAACACCGAAGUGUUGACUACUGGGUAGGAAACGUCCACCAGCAGUGGCAUCGACCCAAUUUUAAGAUUUGAAACCUGUCACGAACAAGGUUAGAACUAAGAAACGAAGUGUUGGCAGUUUAGUGCCAUUACUGACAAGUCGGCCAUUCUUAAUUCAUUGAGAUGAGAUAUGGAACCAAAUAGAAACUGUUGCAACAAGCUGGAUUUAAUACAUUAUUGGUAGAAGAAUAGCGUACAUUAACACGUUGAUAUUUGAUGAAAAUGCCUUAACAACAGAACUUUAACCAAUGGAGCUCUGUUAUUCUUAUUUUUGAUUGGCGUUUAUCCAUAUUUCCCUGUUUUACUUUUUGUAAAACUCUGCAAUUAAGCAAUUUUAUAAUUAACUCAAUUUCUAAAUAAUCUUUGCUUAAUAAAAUCAAAGAAUUCUAUUCAUAUGAGAUUCAACGAUUUAUAAUUUACUGUACUGCUAGAUAUAAGUAUACAAUUCUGAUAUCUGAAAGUAUUUUGUCGCCAUAGCUCAGUCGGUUGACCGCUGAUUGGUUUAUAAAAACACCGACUGCACGGGUUAUUUUAAACGGACUGGUCUUUAGGGAUAGAGGCAGUGGGUUCCAUUUUGAUCAUAUUAUACAUUUAUGAUUUGAAAACGAUUCUCUGUGGGUUCGUACUUCCAUUAAAUUGGUCGUUUGUCUCACUAUUGAUGAUUUGAACGAAUGAUAAUGUCAUUUGUGGCAAUCACCGAUAAAAGGUAGUCAAUACCAUAUCUUACAUUAGCAGACAACAACAGAAAAACGAAAAAUACCAAAAAGAAUUCAAACUUUUAUGUCCGAAAUAAUCUGAAAAUGUCGGAAUUGUUUUGAAUAUUUCAGUAUAAACCGUGUGAUAAGUAAAGUAUUCGUUCAUAAUUUUAGAGAAUUUAAAAACAUAUCGAAUUUAGAAUAUAAAAAAUCAAAUCAGGUCCUUCCUAUUUUUAUCCCCUUCUACCUUUAUGUUUAUAGAAUGUUUUAUUGUUGAAGAAUGAAGACAACCCAAUUACACUUCAAAAUCAGGUACGGCUACGGAAAAGUAAAGGUUUUAUUAGUUUUUCAAAUCAAUCUACUAUGAACGUCACCAACAAUUCUACAAUUUUAGUUUGUUAUCUAUAUGCAUUCAAGGGUAGUUUUUUUUUAUAUAUCCAGAAAGAAAAAAUAGCUCGGGACAAGCGGUCAAUUUAUUUCUGUUGGAUCGACGUAUUUUCCCAUAGACAUGAUACGGGAACGCAAGCGAAUUAAAAGGUCGGCUCUAUGUUUUGAUCUUGAAUUAGAAAAGAAGGUGCAAUAUCCAUUUCACUUUUUAUGUCCCACCUACGAUAGGAGAGGGGCAUUAUGUUUUCUGGUCUGUGCGUCUGUUCGUUCGUUCGUUCGUCCAUCUGUUCUUCCCUCCGUUCGUCCCGCUUCAGGUUAAAGUUUUUGGUGAAGUUGAAGUCCAAUUAACCUGAAACUCAGUACACAUGUGCCCUAUGAUAGAACUUCCUAAUUUAAAUACUAAAUUGGUGUUUUGACCCCAAUUUCACGGUUCACUGAACAAGGAAAAUGAUAUUGCAAAUUUCAGGUUAAAGUUUUUGGUCAAGGUAGUUUUUGAUGAAGUUGAAGUCCAAUCAACUUGAAACGUAGUAUACAGGUUCCCUGUGAUAUGAUCUUUCUUAUUUAAAUACCAAAUUAGAGUAUUUGCGGUCCACUAAACACAUAAUAUGAUAGUGCGGGUGGGGCAUCCGUGUACUAUUGACACAUUCUUGUUUGAGAAAUGUUUUCAUCUAAAAUAGGUGCAUACUAUAUUCUCUGUUGGUAUUAAACAGGGAAAAAAAUAUAUCCCUUAAUUGACAUAUACCCAAUAUCUUAUAUCAGUUGAAGCUUCUCCUUCACAUAUUAAAAGUAUUUAUUUAAGAGUGUUCUUCACUUUAUAACAUUUUGCCUAUACCAAGACCGGAAUAUUGCACUGUUUUUCACUUGUUUUGUUUAUAAAUAGCUUUUGAUUUUGUCAGUUUGAGUGGACUUCCCCUUUUGUAAAUUUUCAUUGGAGUUUAAAAAUGUUCUAGAUUAUACAUGUUUCCAUCCUUUCAAUAUCAUUAUUAAAGUAUUGUCAUGAUCAAUCUGAGGACAUGUUGAUGAUAUCUUUAGAGCUUCCGCUAUUCAGUAGAAAUAGUUUUUUUUUGUAUAAAAAACAUAAUCGGAAGUAGUGUAUAAAAAUUUUCAAGUUCAAAUCUGUACAAAAUAUUAAAUCACGAUACUGCAUAUUAUAAAUUAAAUAGACAACUAACGUCAAUAUAAUCUGUAUGUUCAAAACGUCAUUUCAUUUCAGUAUCCUCCAUUUGCGAACCUUGUAGAAAUGCAAAUAAUUGUGUAAACACACGAUGUGUAAACCGGACAGUGAUUAAUUGUAUUAUCAACUUGUGUACUUGUGUAAAUUCGUCAACCACCAGUAAGUAUUAAGAUACAGUAUUACUUUCAAUUCCAGCAUAACAUAGACCGAUACUGUCAAAAUGGGAUGACUAGCCAAAUGUUUUUAUCUAUUUAUUGAUCAAAUUCGCAUGGAGAAAAAACAGGAGCAGGGGGUAUCGUGUUGUUUAUUCUUUAGUUUUCUAUGUUGUGUCAUGUGUGCUGUUGUUUGUCUUUUUCAUUUUUAACCAUGGCGUUGUCAGUUUGUUUUAGAUUUAUGAGUUUGACUGUCCCUUUGGUAUCUUUCGUCCCUCUUUCCCAUAAAAAGGUGUGCACUGACAUGUCCCUUGUAUCGGUCACUGUUUUUGGAAUAUUAAAUAUAUGCUUAGUGUCAAUAUAAGUUAUAUACUUGUAUACUGAUAGAUACAUGGUGUGCUAUAUAGCUAGUGUCCUAAAACAGUAUAUAUUGGGUCAAUAAAUUCCAUAUGGGGUAAGUGCGAAGCUCGAAUCCCUGUAUGGAAUUUAUUGAUAAUAUCCAAAAUAUGCAUGAAAUGUACUACGUUAAUUUUUGUAAUGUUUUGAUGUUCACAUUUCAACAAUUUAAAAAGAGAGUCAUACAAAAAUUAUUUAAAUAAUAGAAAGCCCAUGUGUACGAUAAGAAGCGUAAACGAGAAGACAAAGAAGGAAAAGACAGAAAGUCACUUGAGCUAUAGAAAGAAGGAAUAAAGGGUACAAAUUAGUUUGAAAACGAUAAGUAACUUUAACUUAUAUCCAGUCUUUAAACAACAUUCACGAUUAAACCCAGAGUAAUGUUAUAUUUUUGUUUUUAUUGAGUUUCUACAUUCUUUCUUUGUAGAACCAACUAACGGCUGGAAUUGUAAGUACAGAAAUGUUUAAGAAACAUGACGAGUAUUUAUAUUUAUAUGCCAUUUAUUUCACUGCAUAGAUUUACAAAUAACUAUAGUCUGAUAAUUUUUGCCACUCGUCUAUUAAGUGAAAAUAUAUAAUUCUUCUAAAAAAAGGGACGAAAGAUACCAAAGGGACAGUCAAACUCAUAAAUCUAAAACAAACUGACAACGCCAUGGCUAAAAAUGAAAAAGACAAACAGAAAAACAAUAGAACACAUGACACAACAUAGAAAACUAAAGAAUAAACAACACGAACCCCACCAAAAACCAGGGGUGAUCUCAGGUGCUCCGGAAGGGUAAGCAGAUCCUGCUCAACAUGCGGCACCCGUCGUGUUGCUUAUGUGAUUACAAAUCCGGUAAAUAGUCUAAUUCGGUAGGUCUAAUUCGGUACCAUCAGAAAUCGGCAGUAUCCGUGGCAUUUUUCUUUUUUACAAUGUUUUCAAUUUGAGUGUAUUUUUUUAUUAGACGUGAACAUAUUAAGAUGGUAUUGCAUAUUUAACGCUGACAAAGGCAGAACAGUCAAACAUUAACAUUGUAUGUUUUCUUUUCUUUUUUUGUAGUUUGUGUUGACAGUGAAUGCGAAUCAUUAUGUUAUCCGCAUCCAGGACAAUGUCACGCAAGACGAUGUUUGUGUAUGAGUCAUAAUUAGAAAUACGCAAGAAAAAGAAUAUGUUUUCACCAGAUAUGAAGAACAUUGCAGUUAUAACAUUUCUCAUAUUAUGUAAUACUGACAGAAGACGUUCUAUGUAUUUCUAAUAAAAGAUUAAAGAUCAGUACUUGUGAUCAUGUAAGUUUCCUCCACA